UGGGGAAUAUUGCACAAUGGGCGCAAGCCUGAUGCAGCCAUGCCGCGUGUAUGAAGAAGGCCUUCGGGUUGUAAAGUACUUUCAGUCGGGAGGAAGGUGGUAAGGUUAAUAACCUUAUCAAUUGACGUUACCGACAGAAGAAGCACCGGCUAACUCCGUGCCAGCAGCCGCGGUAAUACGGAGGGUGCAAGCGUUAAUCGGAAUUACUGGGCGUAAAGCGCACGCAGGCGGUUGAUUGAGUCAGAUGUGAAAUCCCCGUGCUUAACCCGGGAAUUGCAUCUGAUACUGGUCAGCUAGAGUCUUGUAGAGGGGGGUAGAAUUCCAUGUGUAGCGGUGAAAUGCGUAGAGAUGUGGAGGAAUACCGGUGGCGAAGGCGGCCCCCUGGACAAAGACUGACGCUCAGGUGCGAAAGCGUGGGGAGCAAACAGG
This 429-nucleotide ribosomal RNA is filed under the name Chloroflexota bacterium. RNAcentral describes it as "Chloroflexi bacterium partial 16S ribosomal RNA". It matches the Rfam family "Bacterial small subunit ribosomal RNA", at positions 355 to 776 of the family's 1533-position model. The record is from RNAcentral. Lineage: Bacteria; Bacillati; Chloroflexota.